Molecule: transfer RNA, 72 nt
Organism: Pachysolen tannophilus NRRL Y-2460
Lineage: Eukaryota; Fungi; Ascomycota; Pichiomycetes; Alaninales; Pachysolenaceae
Rfam family: tRNA
About the family: Transfer RNA (tRNA) molecules are approximately 80 nucleotides in length. Their secondary structure includes four short double-helical elements and three loops (D, anti-codon, and T loops).
Source: Rfam
GUUAAUAUAGUUUAAUCGGUAAAACAAUUGCCUCAUAUGCAAUAUAUAUAAGUUCAAAUCUUGUUAUUGACA